RNAcentral lists this ribosomal RNA (253 nucleotides) under uncultured bacterium. RNAcentral describes it as "partial 16S ribosomal RNA". It matches the Rfam family "Bacterial small subunit ribosomal RNA", at positions 524 to 776 of the family's 1533-position model. The record is from RNAcentral.
UACGGGGGGGGCAAGCGUUGUUCGGAAUUACUGGGCGUAAAGGGUUCGUAGGCGGCCAACUAAGUCAGACGUGAAAUCCCUCGGCUUAACCGGGGAACUGCGUCUGAUACUGGAUGGCUUGAGAUUGGGAGAGGGAUGCGGAAUUCCAGGUGUAGCGGUGAAAUGCGUAGAUAUCUGGAGGAACACCGGUGGCGAAGGCGGCAUCCUGGACCAACACUGACGCUGAGGAGCGAAAGCCAGGGGAGCAAACGGG